This 2185-nucleotide ribosomal RNA is filed under the name Lillipathes sp. USNM 1457355. RNAcentral's name for it is "16S ribosomal RNA". It matches the Rfam family "Bacterial large subunit ribosomal RNA", at positions 397 to 2785 of the family's 2925-position model. Lineage: Eukaryota; Metazoa; Cnidaria; Anthozoa; Antipatharia; Schizopathidae. The record is from RNAcentral.
AAGUGGAUCAGUCCAAUAACUUAUUGAAGCGAGUAGAUAGUGGAAGAUAGGUGCCCACACAUCUAAGACUAAAUGUUAGCCCCAUACCGAAAGAGAAAGUACUGUAAAGGAAAGUUGAAAGAGAUUUGAAAAGAUCUUGAAAUGAGUCCCUUAAAGCAGUUGUGAUACAACGUACCUUUUGUAUAAUGGGUUUACAAGAUAAGGUUUGGCAGACUUAAGUUAAACUCGGUUUAAAGAACGAAGGUGAAGAGAAAUCAAGGGGGAAACCCCUUCAGUCAAACUCCCCGAAACCAAGUGAUCUAACCAUGAACAGUUUAAAGGAACGAACCGGUGGUUGUAGCAAAACCCUCGGAUGAUUUGUGGUUAGGGGUGAAAGACCAAUCGAACUUGGAGAUAGCUGGUUUUCUGCGAAAACUAUUUAAGUAGUGCGCCCACAAACAGGGCCCUUAUCAGGAUUUAACCGAGAUAUGGGGGAUUGUUUUUUCAUGGUAAAGUUCGAUCGCUCAAAACUGAGGGAUUAACUAUGAAUGUAAAAGAAUCGAAGUGGGCAGACAGACAGUAGGCGAUAAGGUCAAUUGUCAAAAGGGCAAGCCCUAAUCAGAAGUUAAAGUCAUGAAUCAGUUUGGGAUCUAAAAGGAUUAAAAUAGUCAAGUGAAAAAGAGAUAUUGUAUUUAGACAGUGAGGAAGUAGGCUUGGAGACAGCCACCUUUAAAAGAGAACGUAGCAGUUCACUCAAAAAGUUCUCCUAUCUCUACAAUUAGGGUGGCUAAAGCUGAACUGAAACUCUGAGGGCAAAAUACGCUUGGUAGCAGAACGUACUGUAAAUGGUUCAGUGAGAACCCAAAGCAUCAGAGAUGAUAAUGUGAACAUGAGUAAGAAGUCGUCGGAUCACUUCCCCAGGUUUCCAAGCUCGAGGGCUUGGGUUAUACAGUCCCUAAGAUGGUAGCCCAAAGGCUGCGUCGAUGGGCUAUAGUAAUAGACGCACUUGGUGCCAGGAAAGAAUUACUAUAUAUUCGACCCUCGAUGAGAGUUAUAAAAGGUUGCACUGUACUAACCUAACACAAGUGGGGAAUAGUGAGGGGAAAAGUUUUCUUAAGGAACUCGGCAAAACUUUGGACUCCCACUAGGGGGUUAUUACAACACAGGGCUUCGACUGUUUACCAAAAACAUAGCUCUCUGCCAAUAUGCAAAUAGAAGUAUGGAGGGUGAGGCCUGCCCAAUGGUUGUAUCUAAAAGAGUCGGUAGGAGCCGACUUCAUAAAGACAAUUGAAUGGCCGCGGUAACACUGACUGUGAUAAUGUAGCGUAAUCAAUAGCCAAUUAAUUGUUGGCCGGUAUGAAUGGCGUCACGAAGGCCCCACUGUCUUAAAAAGAUUCCCAGUGAAAUUGAAUUCGUAGUGAAGAUGCUACGUCCAAAUUGUUAGACGAAGAGACCCCAUUGAGCUUUACUGGAAACUUAUGCGGCUAAAAUCGGUUCUUGCUCACAGAGAUAUAUUAAGAGCAAGGAGUUAAAACUUAAAUAAAUAGCUAAGAUUAUGUGGUGUGAGACAUCUUGUUCUUCGACUCCUCUCAUAGAGAGGGUCUUGAUCUAAGAUUUAACCGUUGGCGAAGGGGGCCCACUCUUUUAUUUUAAGAGAGCUAACUCUCCUUCAUGGUGAGAGAAACGACGUAAGUGGGACAGUUUGGUUGGGGCGACCGCCUUUUAAAAAGUAACGAAGGUGAGCUUAAGGUGCAUAAUUAAUAGCAGACGCCUGACUGCAAGGGGUACGUCCCGAGCAGACACCGGAAGACCUAGGCAUAAGCUAUUAGGGCGUGAAAGGUGGGCUAUAAUGACCCGUUAGUUUAGAGUGGAAUAGUUAACGAUCAACGGAUAAAAGCUACCAUGGGGAUAACAGCGUAAUAUCGUUAGAGAGCUUUCAUCGACGACGAUGUUUGCGACCUCGAUGUUGAAUUGCAGCAUCCUGGGGUGCAGUCGCUCCCAAGGGUUGGUCUGUUCGUCCAUUAAGGCUGUACAUGAUUUGAGUUAAAAGCGUGGUAACACAGCUUGGUUUCUAUCUACAAUUUGAAGAAACAUCGAUAUAAUUAUUUUCUAGUACGAAAGGACCGAAACAUUAAUGAUCCUCUUAUUCUCUAUAAGUUACGAUCAAUAUAGAUCCUUUAGGAUCAGGCCCGCAUUGGAAGGUUGG